This 466-nucleotide ribosomal RNA is filed under the name uncultured bacterium. Its description in RNAcentral is "partial 16S ribosomal RNA". It matches the Rfam family "Bacterial small subunit ribosomal RNA", at positions 28 to 507 of the family's 1533-position model. The record is from RNAcentral.
GAUGAACGCUGGCGGCGUGCUUAACACAUGCAAGUCGAACGAUGAAGCCCAGCUUGCUGGGUGGAUUAGUGGCGAACGGGUGAGUAACACGUGAGUAACCUGCCCUUAACUCUGGGAUAAGCCUGGGAAACUGGGUCUAAUACCGGAUAGGAGCGUCCACCGCAUGGUGGGUGUUGGAAAGAUUUAUCGGUUUUGGAUGGACUCGCGGCCUAUCAGCUUGUUGGUGAGGUAAUGGCUCACCAAGGCGACGACGGGUAGCCGGCCUGAGAGGGUGACCGGCCACACUGGGACUGAGACACGGCCCAGACUCCUACGGGAGGCAGCAGUGGGGAAUAUUGCACAAUGGGCGCAAGCCUGAUGCAGCGACGCCGCGUGAGGGAUGACGGCCUUCGGGUUGUAAACCUCUUUCAGUAGGGAAGAAGCGAAAGUGACGGUACCUGCAAAAGAAGCACCGGCUAACUACGUG